UACGGGGGGUGCGAGCGUUGUUCGGAAUUAUUGGGCGUAAAGAGCGUGUAGGCGGCUGAAUAAGUCAGAUGUGAAAUCCCUGGGCUUAACCCAGGACGUGCAUUUGAAACUAUUCGGCUUGAGUAAGGGAGAGGAAAGUGGAAUUCCUGGUGUAGAGGUGAAAUUCGUAGAUAUCAGGAGGAACACCGGUGGCGAAGGCGACUUUCUGGCCCUAUACUGACGCUGAGACGCGAGAGCGUGGGUAGCAAACAGG
This 253-nucleotide ribosomal RNA is filed under the name uncultured Smithella sp. Its description in RNAcentral is "partial 16S ribosomal RNA". It matches the Rfam family "Bacterial small subunit ribosomal RNA", at positions 524 to 776 of the family's 1533-position model. The record is from RNAcentral. Lineage: Bacteria; Pseudomonadati; Thermodesulfobacteriota; Syntrophia; Syntrophales; Smithellaceae.